CUCUAUUGGAGAGUUUGAUCCUGGCUCAGGACGAACGCUGGCGGCAUGCCUAAUACAUGCAAGUCGAGCGGAGUUAUUUUGGAAGCUUGCUUCCAAAAUAACUUAGCGGCGGACGGGUGA
This 120-nucleotide ribosomal RNA is filed under the name Paenibacillus glacialis. RNAcentral describes it as "partial 16S ribosomal RNA". It matches the Rfam family "Bacterial small subunit ribosomal RNA", at positions 1 to 109 of the family's 1533-position model. Lineage: Bacteria; Bacillati; Bacillota; Bacilli; Caryophanales; Paenibacillaceae. The record is from RNAcentral.